CAAACCAUGGUUUAAGAAGCUAGAUUUUAGGACAGUCUGAGGACCUUCCCUGGUCCCUUGGGGGUGGGGUAGGAGAAAUGCAGGAGCGGCAGUCUGUGCCCUGUCUGCCUUGCAUUUGAUUUCUGCAGUUACGGAGCUAAAGUAGAGAACCGGCUUUGCUGGGGAUUGCAUUGUUGUGUCAUUUUCCUGUCCUGAUACCGCAUAAAUGAUCGCCUGAUCAGCAUAUCGAUUGGAUAAUUUAUUCAAUAUCAUUUAUGAACAGUAUCUGAAAAGAAAACAAGAUUUCAAGUGUUUCAAGUCUAUUGAAACAAGUUACAAUGGUAUAGUUCUAGAUGGAGAAUAAGAGUUCAGAUAAGUUCCUAGAAUGGCUUUGGUGUUCUGAUUCGCAAGGUUUCGGUGAUCCAGUAAGGCUUCCUCUCAUGGCUCACCAUGUACCAAGUCUAAAUCUUUCAGUUACAGGAGGCAAGUGCGGACUAAAAACAACUUGACGUCUCUGUUAGGAAAUUUGAUAGACAUUCAGAGUCCAGUAAGCAAAUUUCACAGAACCACACACAGCUACAAAAGAAAUUUGGACAUUAAAGUUGUUGUUUCUCUCUAGAAAGAUGAAGGCAACAAAAAGAAAACAACAUGCUACAUUGAUGUCAUCAUACAAAAGUAUUUUUCUAAAUUAUUAAAGCAUCAAAAUGUAUAUUCAAUGAAGAGUGAGGAAAUUCUAAGAGUCUUCUCUGAAUAAGUCAGAUAGGAAGCUUAAAAAGUGAGUCAAGUAGGAAAGGUAAUCAAGGGAAACUAGACCAUAUUAGAAUUGAAAGUGUACUUUACAGAUAUUUAGUACUUAGUUAAUACUUCUUAAAGGAAUAAAUAGCUAUUUUCCAUACUUAUGCUCACAAAAAAACUCUGUGUUAUUCACCUAAACAUACACAUGCUAACACACCUCAAAUGUAUACACAAAGUUAAUCUAGAUGCGGGCACUAUAUAUUUUACACAAACAUUGUCAAA
This is a long non-coding RNA of Microtus oregoni (creeping vole), 996 nucleotides long. RefSeq lists it as uncharacterized. The transcript has 3 exons. NCBI's taxonomy places the organism in Eukaryota, Metazoa, Chordata, Mammalia, Rodentia, Cricetidae. The record is from RefSeq and is a predicted model, not a curated record.